GACGAACGCUGGCGGCGCGCCUAACACAUGCAAGUCGAACGGGACUGCGAGAAGCUUGCUUUUUGCAGUCUAGUGGCGGACGGGUGAGUAACACGUGAGCAACCUGCCUCUAAGUGGGGAAUAACGGCUGGAAACGGUCGCUAAUACCGCAUAAUAUAGCGAGGUCGCAUGACCUUGUUAUCAAAGAUUUAUCGCUUAGAGAUGGGCUCGCGUCCGAUUAGCUAGAUGGUGGGGUAACGGCCCACCAUGGCGACGAUCGGUAGCCGGACUGAGAGGUUGAUCGGCCACAUUGGGACUGAGACACGGCCCAG
Molecule: ribosomal RNA, 311 nt
Filed under: uncultured bacterium
Lineage: Bacteria
Description: bacterial SSU rRNA
Rfam family: Bacterial small subunit ribosomal RNA
Source: RNAcentral